UUUUUGUGUGUGUCUGCAUGGAGUGGGAGUGUGGUUGGGUUGUGGGGGAAGGUGUAGCAAUUUAGCUCUAAAGACUAGAUAUGAAGGCUUUUGCACAAGGCCGAUCCUAUUCCAAGGUACUUGGCUCUUAAUCCAAUUUAGCUUCACAAACCUCCAUGUUAUGUGCUUAUUGUCAUGCUGCCUUUGACAUCACCACAGUCAGAGAGCGCAUUGAUGAAAAUCAGCAAAGACAUAACAUAUAGAGGAGGUUAUUGACUACUUCAGAAAGCACCAAGUUGGUCUGUGUUUUGUUUUCUUGUGUUCUUUAUUAGAACAUGUAUAUCUAUGUAGCUCUUUCCCAUGAUCAACAUAAAGAAUGUGCCUACUGUGUUGGAGCUUGCAUAGGACUUGCUCGUGUACAAUUCAAAGAGGUAUGGCAUCAGGAUAUUCCUUUAUGUUCUAUUCGACUCGAGUUUGGUUGGGAUCAACUCAUGAUGUAUUAGAGUCGACUCUGUAAUGUCCGGGC
This 505-nucleotide long non-coding RNA is filed under the name Phoenix dactylifera (date palm). RNAcentral's name for it is "long non-coding RNA (PDAC_LNC007871)". The record is from RNAcentral. Lineage: Eukaryota; Viridiplantae; Streptophyta; Magnoliopsida; Arecales; Arecaceae.